GGGGUUGUGGCUCAGAGGUAGAGUGCUCGCCUAGCAUACGUGAGGCACUGGGUUCAAUCCUCAGCACCACA
Molecule: transfer RNA, 71 nt
Filed under: Marmota monax (woodchuck)
Lineage: Eukaryota; Metazoa; Chordata; Mammalia; Rodentia; Sciuridae
Description: tRNA.Ala
Rfam family: tRNA
About the family: Transfer RNA (tRNA) molecules are approximately 80 nucleotides in length. Their secondary structure includes four short double-helical elements and three loops (D, anti-codon, and T loops).
Source: RNAcentral